UACGUAGGGUGCAAGCGUUAAUCGGAAUUACUGGGCGUAAAGCGCACGUAGGCGGCUUUCUAAGUCGGGGGUGAAAUCCUGGAGCUCAACUCCAGAACUGCCUUCGAUACUGGAGAGCUCGAGUCCGGGAGAGGUGAGUGGAACUGCGAGUGUAGAGGUGAAAUUCGUAGAUAUUCGCAAGAACACCAGUGGCGAAGGCGGCUCACUGGCCCGGUACUGACGCUGAGGUGCGAAAGCGUGGGGAGCAAGCAGG
RNAcentral lists this ribosomal RNA (253 nucleotides) under uncultured bacterium. Its description in RNAcentral is "partial 16S ribosomal RNA". It matches the Rfam family "Bacterial small subunit ribosomal RNA", at positions 524 to 776 of the family's 1533-position model. The record is from RNAcentral.